CAUGGCUGUCGUCAGCUCGUGUCGUGAGAUGUUGGGUUAAGUCCCGCAACGAGCGCAACCCUUGUCACUAGUUGCCAUCAUUUGGUUGGGCACUCUAGUGAGACUGCCGGUGACAAACCGGAGGAAGGUGGGGAUGACGUCAAGUCCUCAUGGCCCUUAUAGGUGGGGCUACACACGUCAUACAAUGGAUGGUACAAAGGGUCGCCAACCCGCGAGGGGGGAGCCAAUCCCAUAAAGCCAUUCGUAGUCCGGAUCGCAGUCUGCAACUCGACUGCGUGAAGUCGGAAUCGCUAGUAAUCGUGGAUCAGAAUGUCACGGUGAAUACGUUCCCGGGCCUU
Molecule: ribosomal RNA, 338 nt
Filed under: uncultured Lampropedia sp.
Lineage: Bacteria; Pseudomonadati; Pseudomonadota; Betaproteobacteria; Burkholderiales; Comamonadaceae
Description: bacterial SSU rRNA
Rfam family: Bacterial small subunit ribosomal RNA
Source: RNAcentral